Molecule: ribosomal RNA, 490 nt
Filed under: Blastocystis sp.
Lineage: Eukaryota; Bigyra; Opalinata; Blastocystidae
Description: SSU rRNA
Rfam family: Eukaryotic small subunit ribosomal RNA
Source: RNAcentral
GGAGGUAGUGACAAUAAAUCUCAAUACGAAGCCUUUGGUUUUGUAAUUGAAUUGAGAACAAUGUACAAUCGUUAUCGAUAAACAAUUGGAGGGCAAGUCUGGUGCCAGCAGCCGCGGUAAUUCCAGCUCCAAUAGCGUAUAUUAACGUUGUUGCAGUUAAAAAGCUCGUAGUUGAAGUUUAGAUGGUUUGAAGGGGGUGUUAGUAUUCGUACUAUCUGCUCUCUUUGGAUUAUCGACUUCCAGGUAAGUAUAAUGUACCUUUCGGGGUUCGUUAUACCAGACUGGUCUUUUACUGUGAGAAAAUUAGAGUGUUUAAAGCAGACUUUAUUUAGUUUGAAUAGAUUAGCAUGGAAUAAUAAGAUUGGCUUUCAUAGUCGAUUUUUUGGUUUGUUUAUGAAAGCAAGAUUAAUAGGGACAGUUGGGGGUAUUCAUAUUCAAUAGCUAGAGGUGAAAUUCUAUGAUUUAUGGAAGAUGAACAAGUGCGAAAGCA